This 342-nucleotide unclassified non-coding RNA is filed under the name uncultured fungus. RNAcentral's name for it is "partial contains 5.8S ribosomal RNA and internal transcribed spacer 2". The stretch from base 1 to 133 matches the Rfam family "5.8S ribosomal RNA", at positions 22 to 154 of the family's 154-position model. Lineage: Eukaryota; Fungi. The record is from RNAcentral.
UGGCUCUCGCAUCGAUGAAGAACGCAGCGAAAUGCGAUAAGUAAUGUGAAUUGCAGAAUUCAGUGAAUCAUCGAAUCUUUGAACGCACCUUGCGCCUUUUGGUAUUCCGAAAGGCAUGCCUGUUUGAGUGUCAUGAAAUCUCAAUCCCUCUGGUUUUCUAACCGGCUGGAUUGGACUUGGGCGUCUUGCCAGCAAUGGCUCGCCUCAAAUGACUUAGUGGAACACCCCACAUCAGUGUUAGACGUAAUAAGUUUCGUCUCUCCUUGUGGUGGUGACUGCUUAGAACCUGCCAUCGCGCACUCUUUUGACUUUGACCUCAAAUCAGGUAGGGCUACCCGCUGA